AGAAUGCAACUGAAGAAAUGGCUGGUGCAAUUCAGCAAGUAAAGGCAGAAGCUAUGAAUUUGUGCUAUUGUCUGUGGGCUCCUUUCAGACUCACUAUAAGGUUCUCAAACAGUAGCUGCCACUUCUAGCUGGGAGAGAAAUGAGAGCUCUGCUCAUGGUGAUCCAGUAUCUCCAGAAUCCAUCACCACUGCUGACCUCCCACUCCAUGUCUCCAAGUGCUCUGCUAUACCUGCCACCAGCAGCUGCCACCUCCAGACUUUGGAAGGUUAUAAUAAAACCUCUGUUCUACGAUCUGCCUUCUGCUUCAACAUCCUCACUCCCCACAAACAAUUCUAAUAAACA
RNAcentral lists this long non-coding RNA (342 nucleotides) under Homo sapiens (human). RNAcentral describes it as "non-protein coding lnc-ATP23-89:8". The record is from RNAcentral. Lineage: Eukaryota; Metazoa; Chordata; Mammalia; Primates; Hominidae.